AUUGAACGCUGGCGGCAGGCCUAACACAUGCAAGUCGAGCGGAUGAAGGGAGCUUGCUCCUGGAUUCAGCGGCGGACGGGUGAGUAAUGCCUAGGAAUCUGCCUGGUAGUGGGGGAUAACGUCCGGAAACGGGCGCUAAUACCGCAUACGUCCUGAGGGAGAAAGUGGGGGAUCUUCGGACCUCACGCUAUCAGAUGAGCCUAGGUCGGAUUAGCUAGUUGGUGGGGUAAAGGCCUACCAAGGCGACGAUCCGUAACUGGUCCGAGAGGAUGAUCAGUCACACUGGAACUGAGACACGGUCCAGACUCCUACGGGAGGCAGCAGUGGGGAAUAUUGGACAAUGGGCGAAAGCCUGAUCCAGCCAUGCCGCGUGUGCGAAGAAGGUCUUCGGAUUGUAAAGCACUUUAAGUUGGGAGGAAGGGCAGUAAGUUAAUACCUUGCUGUUUUGACGUUACCAACAGAAUAAGCACCGGCUAACUUCGUG
This 484-nucleotide ribosomal RNA is filed under the name uncultured bacterium. RNAcentral describes it as "partial 16S ribosomal RNA". It matches the Rfam family "Bacterial small subunit ribosomal RNA", at positions 30 to 507 of the family's 1533-position model. The record is from RNAcentral.